UUUGAAAUACAACAACAAAUGUCAGAAAAACAUUUUCCAAUUAAUUGAAAGCUCAUAGCUCCACAAAACCUCUCGCAUUCGUCUUCAUUUUUAUUACAUUUAUUGUAACAUUUUUUAUACUCGUGUUUAACUCCAAAAUCUAUUCAAAAUUAAUAAGAAAUACAAUAUUAAAAUCAUGAAAUUAUAUAGAAAUUAUCAUAAGAAAAAUUAAAAUUUUAAAUAAUAAUUUAGUACCCGUAAGUAUAUCGGUGCAAUGAACAUUUGAUAGCACGAAGAAGAUAGCAAAAACAAAUGCGAUCAAUAUAUUUUUCGAGAUACCCAUCUUUUUUUAUUGUUGUUUUG
RNAcentral lists this long non-coding RNA (342 nucleotides) under Brassica napus (rape). RNAcentral's name for it is "long non-coding RNA (BNAP_LNC010844)". Lineage: Eukaryota; Viridiplantae; Streptophyta; Magnoliopsida; Brassicales; Brassicaceae. The record is from RNAcentral.